Anguilla anguilla (European eel) is the source of this 980-nucleotide long non-coding RNA. RefSeq lists it as uncharacterized. NCBI's taxonomy places the organism in Eukaryota, Metazoa, Chordata, Actinopteri, Anguilliformes, Anguillidae. The record is from RefSeq and is a predicted model, not a curated record. The transcript is spliced from 3 exons.
GGAGCUGAGAAGAGCAGUCUCGGGACUGUGCUUAAUCUUUAACAAAUCGCAAGCUCUAUGAGCAUAGGGGUUGAGACUGUUAGGAAACUGUUUUUUAAUUUCACUAAGAGCUGGGGUCUGCACGUGAAGUGGCCCACCAACUGAGACGCACAUACUAAUGAGAGUUUCACACAGGACUCUCAGAUCCUGUUCCCAUUGGAAGUUCCUCUGUCCAGACCUUCAGCCUCCCUCAUUUCCUGACUGCACAGUAAGCAGUUACAACUCUACAAAGAAUAUCCAGUAACUCACCUUCUCUUGCACACACUGUUUAUUUAUUGGUUUAUUGAUUUUAUUUAUUAAUUUUUGAUCUAUUUUAUCUAUCUAUGCUGUCUUUUGCGGUUUCUUAUGUACUGUUGUGUCGUACUGUAUGUCGUACUGUACUGUAUCUGUCGUUUUGUGUUGACUGUGUUUAUUUUACAUACUCUUGCCGACGCCUCUUGGCCAGGUCAUCAUUGUAAAUGAGAAUUGGUUCUCAACUGAUUUUACCUGGUUAAAUAAAGGUCAAAUAAAAUAAAAAAUUUCAUUUUAUAGCUUCAGGACAAUUCCAAUACAGGAAUUCAAAUACAGGGAAAACGGAAAAAUCCAUAAUCUACAAGUUACAUUACAUUACUGCAUUAGAGCUUGUUUUUUUUUUUUUUAAAGCCAGGAGUUCCAUGUAGCGAUUCUAUGAUAAACGGUCUGUGGCUGGAAUCUGACAGGCUUAUUACCUUCGACCAAUGGAGAGCGUGCAGCUCGCUGAUCACCAGGCAGGAUGCAGCGGAAGAGCUGUGAAGCCUUGCGUGGGAAUGCGACACAUGCCUCGCAGCACAGAUUGCACUCCUGCGCGCCACAUCCCGCAUGUAAGGCGUGCGUGACCGUGAGCCCUGCUGCUUCUGCAGCCGGCGCGCUGUCUCCCCGGGGGCAUGGUCCGCGGGUACGGCAGGGAGCUCAUGGGAGAUGGA